Molecule: long non-coding RNA, 899 nt
Filed under: Homo sapiens (human)
Lineage: Eukaryota; Metazoa; Chordata; Mammalia; Primates; Hominidae
Description: non-protein coding lnc-TAF13-2:3
Source: RNAcentral
AGUUCUCACCGUUCGUCAUGGCGGCUGGCCCUGGACCUGGGUAGGGGGUCCGGGUUCAGUGGUAAUAGCGGCGGAGAUGGGGGAGCGCCCGCUUGACACUUCCCGAUCCGGGCCGAGGUGACUGGAAGAAGCCGUAGUACGCAGGAGCAAGGGCCGAGAGGCGAGCGCCGAACGCUAUCAGGAGUGGCUAGCCGAUUGUCGAGCUCGGGAAACUGCGUGUUUACGUAGGGUAAGAAGAACGCUAUCUCGAAGGCUUCGUACUUGGCCGUGGUAACUAAGUCUUUUCUGCGUGCCCCUGCGGGCGUAGGGCUGGGGCUGGCCCGCGUCAGUGUGUUUGAAAAGGUAAAGGCUUGUAGUUUUGUAGUUUAUUUUGCGCCGUGGCGGCUGCUGUGUGUAAGCAGCAGCCUACCUAUGAGGUUUUCAUCGUCCUGGGCUUCCACUUGAGAGAACUCCAGCACCGCGGGUGAAGAAGCCGCACCUGCGGCCUCCGUGACUGCCCUUGAGCUGCUCUUCCUUACUCCGGAUGGAAAUCUAGUCAGACUGCGUCUGAACGUUGCAAAUGAAAUGAGGAACCUUGUAACAAAAACAAGUCGCGGCCGGGCGCGGUGGUUCACGCCUGUAAUCCCAGCACUUUGGGAGGCCGAGCCAGGCGGAUCACCUGAGGUCGGAGUUCGAGACCAGCCUGACCAACAAGGAGAAACCCCGUCUCUACUAAACAUACAAAAUUAGCCGGGCGCGGUGGCUCAUGCCUGUAAUCUAAGCACUUUAGGAGGCCGAGGCAGGCGGAUCACCUGAGAUCGUAGUUCGAGACCAGCCUGACCAACAUGGAGAAACCCCGUCUCUACUACAAAUACAAAAUUAGCCGGGCAUGGUGGCUCAUGCCUGUAAUGUAAUCCCAG